This 460-nucleotide ribosomal RNA is filed under the name uncultured bacterium. RNAcentral describes it as "bacterial SSU rRNA". It matches the Rfam family "Bacterial small subunit ribosomal RNA", at positions 28 to 499 of the family's 1533-position model. The record is from RNAcentral.
GAUGAACGCUGGCGGCGUGCUUAACACAUGCAAGUCGAACGGGAUCCAUCAGGCUUUGCUUGGUGGUGAGAGUGGCGAACGGGUGAGUAAUGCGUGACCGACCUGCCCCAUACACCGGAAUAGCUCCUGGAAACGGGUGGUAAUGCCGGAUGCUCCAGUUGAUCGCAUGGUCUUCUGGGAAAGCUUUCGCGGUAUGGGAUGGGGUCGCGUCCUAUCAGCUUGACGGCGGGGUAACGGCCCACCGUGGCUUCGACGGGUAGCCGGCCUGAGAGGGCGACCGGCCACAUUGGGACUGAGAUACGGCCCAGACUCCUACGGGAGGCAGCAGUGGGGAAUAUUGCACAAUGGGCGCAAGCCUGAUGCAGCGACGCCGCGUGAGGGAUGGAGGCCUUCGGGUUGUAAACCUCUUUUAUCGGGGAGCAAGCGAGAGUGAGUUUACCCGUUGAAUAAGCACCGGCUA